GGGUGGCAAGUGAUGAUUCCUCUAAUGAUGCUUUCCUGAUGUACGACCUAUGAGGGUUGCAUAGUCACUACCUCUUCUGAUGCCAUCA
This is a small nucleolar RNA of Laticauda laticaudata (blue-ringed sea krait), 88 nucleotides long. Ensembl annotates it as small nucleolar RNA, C/D box 11B. Its record names the gene SNORD11B. The record is from Ensembl. NCBI's taxonomy places the organism in Eukaryota, Metazoa, Chordata, Lepidosauria, Squamata, Elapidae.